RNAcentral lists this ribosomal RNA (253 nucleotides) under uncultured bacterium. RNAcentral describes it as "partial 16S ribosomal RNA". It matches the Rfam family "Bacterial small subunit ribosomal RNA", at positions 524 to 776 of the family's 1533-position model. The record is from RNAcentral.
UACGUAGGGCGCAAGCGUUGUCCGGAUUUAUUGGGCGUAAAGAGCGUGUAGGCGGCCAGGUAGGUCUGCUGUGAAAACUCGAGGCUUAACCUCGAGAUGUCAUCGGAAACCAUUUGGCUAGAGUCCGGGAGAGGAGAGUGGAAUUCCUGGUGUAGCGGUGAAAUGCGCAGAUAUCAGGAAGAACACCAAUGGCGAAAGCAGCUCUCUGGGACGGUACUGACGCUGAGACGCGAAAGCGUGGGGAGCAAACAGG